Long non-coding RNA from Harpia harpyja (harpy eagle), 4970 nucleotides. RefSeq lists it as uncharacterized. The transcript has 5 exons. NCBI's taxonomy places the organism in Eukaryota, Metazoa, Chordata, Aves, Accipitriformes, Accipitridae. The record is from RefSeq and is a predicted model, not a curated record.
GUAGUGUGUAAUCUACCCAACAGGAUUGAUCCAGGUCAGGCAUUAAAGGCUAAAAUGGAUUAAACAAAAGACAUUCCCCUUGUAACAAGAAGGAAAAACUUCAAAGGUGGGAUUUGUUCUUGUUAUGACAAAGGAAGUGGAUUUACCAAGUGCCUGGGGGCACACCCCUCCGCGGCUUUCAAUUUGCUCGAGUUGCUAUGAAGAAACAGGACAAAAUGCGUGGGGGUUUUCGCCGCGCGCUUCGGCGCUGCCGGAGCCCUCCCCGGGGUUGUCCCUGGUCAGUGGAAAUGCAGCUGUAGGCACGUUCCCAGUCCUGCACGUCUGGGGAGGAAAGAGGACCUUCAGGCCAACAAAUCUCACCAGGUGAGCAUUACAGCCACUCGCUUUUAUGAGACUUGCACCCUGCCGUGGGGGGAUUAUUGGUUUCUUCUUGUUCUUGAACCCACUCCAGAGCAAAGCUAAUUCUCCUCCCUGGCUGAGAAAAAGGCACAGUGGCAGUAGGCAUGGUGGCAGCAGGGCAUGGUGGCAACAAGUCAUGGUGGCAGGAGCCCUGCUGCCUACAACACUGCUCCCUUCAUCUUCUCUAGGUCCUGCUACCACCGCAGAGGACCUGCUGUGACUCUGGCACCAAAAACCCACGUCACUUGCUGAGGAAACCCAUAACACCCCAAACUUUUCCCAGCACUGUGCUUCCACAAAGCCCCAAAUGCACCUUUGUGGCUGGUGCAUCCAGGUCUGGAGCAUCUCAAGCUGGCCUGGGCUGAGCUCCUGGGCGAUCCUGCAAAGGUGCUGCGUGGUGGGACCAUGGUGGAUCCCAUGGUCUCUGAUACGUCUCGUGGCUGGGAUCCAAACUACAGCACAAAGGAGGCUCUUUGAAACCAAACUUCUAUCAUUUUUAACUAUUUCUUUAAGGGAACAAGACCUUGGGUCUAGCCUGUGUGAUUACAGCUGGGUUAAGUUAUAUGUGUCCAUGUGCCUCUGUGUGUGUACAAGUUUUCCACAUUAAAUUAGGCAAUUAGGCAAUUGGGUCCAAGCUGACAUCAAGAGAAGAGGUCCCCAGGUUUGCACAGUGACAGGCCUAUGGCAAUUAAAUGCGACAUGCUCAAUUAUCGAAAUGUGAAAGCAUCUUUGGGAAACUCCAUCUCCAUCCAUGCACGUUCUCUAUAUUAACCUACAGAGCUGAGCUACAACUCAUUUAUUUGUGGACCGAGAGGAAGGACUUCUUAUCUUUCAAUGCCUGAUGGCCAUAAUUAGGCUUAUUAUCGUACACAGGCCUUGGAAGCACAUUGCAAAAGGCUGUCUCUGAACAUGAGCUGCUUUUCACCAAGUGUCAAGCUGAGGAGCUGGGAGUGAGCGGACUUGUCUCUGCAGGGCCUUCUGCUUGGGCUCAGCAUCCUCCUGAUGAGAUCUUCUUGGGCCGAAAGCAGGAGGGACCAUCUCACCACUAGCAGGGAAGGACACUGGAGAACCAAUUAGGACUCAUAAAUGGCAAAUAAGGAUGCUGACAGUUACCACAGAGCAUCUUUCCCUUUUUUGCAGUACAGUUAUUUUCACAGAGCAUGCCCAAAUCCCUUUAAACACAAGUGUAAAUGGUUUCUGCUGAGAUCCUGUCCCAGCAAGUGCCCCAUCACAAACCUGUCAGUAGAAGAGGGAGGUGGCAGAGGUCUGCAGAGCCUUGAGCGGUGGGGAUGAUGGAGAAGAGUACAGCGUUUCAUUUUGCUUCAUAAAGCCAAGGCUAGCAGGCUAGUGCAUAAUUUCCAAGAAGCUGUAGGAAGCCCUUCAUCGCAGGACACAUGAUGAAAUUGUGGACCUCUUCACUGCAGGAGCCCCUGCAGAUCCAUAGGACCACCUCUGGCUGGAAGCAGUUGUGUGGCAGAGCAGUGGAGCUUGAAAAAGAUAAGCACAAGUUUGCUGGCUCCGCAGAACCUUGUAAAGGACAAAUGAAGAGUUGCAGAAGACGAAGGCACUGUCCGACACCGUUUCCUAAAUACAGAGGGAUCCUCUGAAGCUCGUCCUCUUCUGGGAUUGUCACCCUGAUCCUGGGAGAGGGGUUCAGCCUUGGUUUGUCUGGAUUCCAGGCACAGCGUUGCAAGAGAAGGGACUUGCCGUGUUGGCUGAACUCUCUGGAGAUGAGGUCCUUGGGAAGCCCUGAGGAAGGCAACUGCUCUGGUGAAUAAUUGUCACGUCUUCACUGUGUGGCCUGGGACAUUCCCAGUCCCAGCACGGGCUCCCACUGCCACCAGGCACCUGCUGUCAGAAGUUGACGAAUGUUCUCAUAUCGCCCAGCUGUGAGGAGCCGUGGGCACCACAAAAGAUAACCAGGAAUUUCAUCUGAUGCAUCCACUAUCUGGAAAGAGAUUAUUUUUCUUGAUGCUGAGCUGACUUUUCUGACCAUCUCAGUGUAGAUUUGGAGUCAAGUGUGGGGUCCCAGGAGGGAAAAGGAGGGGUGAUUCAUGUUGCGGCUAUCAGUGUUUCACACAUCUGAGAGUGUGGCGUGCCCCAGCUGAGAACUUCAAUUCACUUAGUGCAAGAUGAAAUGGCAGCUGUGUUGGAUUGAUAAAACAAUAAUAAUCGUGAUGAAAUAAUAGGCUUAAUGCCAGCUAUUGCUGUUUAGCCAAAAGGUCAUUUUGACAGAUGUAACUUUUAUCAGGAAGCAUCAAAAUAUCAGAUUUGUUUUUGAGUUUUUGAGGAGAGGGCACUGAGAAGACAAAGUGGGGAUGUUGAACAUGCCAGGACUUUUCUGGGCUCUGGCAUUUGGCUGGAAGCAGCUUAUGGUCUGCAAACGGCAGGUCCUCAGCUCCGGGGACAUCGUGGCCAGAGCUCUGCUGUGACCAGCACCAGGCUCUGCUGCCCUGGCUGAGAAACUCACCCACAAAUCACGUCCCUUUGGCUGAACUCUUAGGGUUUUUAUUUUUCUCUCAUCUCCUGAAACUGUGGGCAGGUUUCUGAUUCCUGCACCAGAAAAUACCUUCCUGCCUUGUCUUGGAAACCCGACGCAACAUUGCUUUGGUUCCCACCUGCCCUUGGUGGCCUGUCUGGUCCCCAUGUGCUGCCUCAGCUCUCCAGGGACUGCACAAGUUAUGCCAACACAGACCGUUCUGCCUUUCCUCCCUGGACCAGCUUAGUGCCCAUCCUAAGGAUGAUGGGGCUAAACUAUAUAUACAUACAUGACAAAAAUGGUUGUAUAGCUCUGCUCCUUGCCCAGGGCUGUGUCAGAAGACAUGUUGAUUGGGAAGACUAAGUCUUUAAUUGUGUGUCUCCCUUCUGCUGGUGGCUUUGCUGGAUCUCCACCUCUCUGCUUUCCCACCAGAGCCUGUCCUUGCCCUCCACUGCAACCCUCAAUUUGCCCAGAGGGUCUCACAUCCCUCCCGGAGGAGGGACCCUGCUCAUCCCGCUGCCGGGGCACUCUGUCUGGGCUCUCUAUCCUUCCUUGCUGCCCCAUGGGCUGUUCUUUUCCCCUCCUCUGAAGGUCAGAGCGGUGUCCUUGAACCUGCCCUUGCACGUGCAUCCUCACUGCCAUGGGUACCGUGUCCAGGGAUGUCACCGUUGGCUUCUCCACAUCAUGACAGCUUGCACCCAGACACGCUCUGUCAGCCUCAAGCUCCACAUUUCGGAAGCUCCCAGGGUCCCCCGGCAUCCCAGGGCCAGAGUUUGGGGUCUCCCCGCUCCUGCUUGCUCAAACUGCCGCCUCCCUGCCACUGCGGGUGGUUUCUAGCUUGCUGGGUGUGCACCUGCAAGCAGACCCCAGUUAAAACCAGUGCACCCCAGUUCAGCAAGGGGAGAAGCGGACUUGCUUUAUUUUUUGUUUUGCGAGCGAGAGGUGCUUUCCAGCACAAGCCAAAAGUGGGUCUUCUCUUGGCUUUGCCAGCUGAAGUGCGGGACUGCGCUAUUUGCAGCCGAGAAGCUGCUCUCCCACCGCUCCUGGAUCAAAUGCAAGCAGGAGCCGUGGGAGGCCAGCCCAUCUCUAACCGCGUGAAUCAAUCUGAAGGAAAGAGACAAAAUCCCCAAAUCUCAAAAUAAUGAAAACAAAGAUAUCCAAGUAAUAAAAUCUGCAAGAAGCACAAAGACGAUGUAACUCAGAUCUCAGCUGGCUCAAAGAAAGUGUCUAUUAACAAGGGAUUAGCGGGAGGGAAGUACACAACCAGUCAAUAGGAAGUGAAAAUACACCGCACAGUCGCCUAAUAUCACAGGCCAACGCAGGGUUAGGAUGAAGGCUGUGUUGGGCGAGUUAGAAUAAGAGCUACUCCAGAAAUCUAGCAAAUAAAAAAACAAGCGCUGCAAAGCCUGCCUUUGCUGUGGCGCCUGGUUUUUAAGAAACCUUGAAGACUCGUAGCUCUCAGUCAAAGAAAAAGCAUCUCGUUCUUUCACUCUGCAUACUUAUGCGCAUCCCUCACGUGCUGCACUUCACCGUUACACCUGAGAAAUAGAGAUUUUUUUCUUGUCUUGGGGCUUGUGUAUUUCCUUUCACUGCCAGGUCUGGUCUAGACUCGGACCUUCCAGAUGCCCUGGUAUCGACCUCCCUGGUAACACAAAUAGGAAUAAAAAAUGAGUAAGAUUGAUUAUGUUCUCCCCACGGCCAUUUUCCAGCUAGUCUGAAUGGGUCCAAAACUCUUCUUUCCCUAAAUUUCAUGAAAAUCAGUUAUUCUAUGAAAAGCACUGAUGGAUUGUGGAGUAUUUCUUAAAAAGCAGGGCAGGAGAAAGCGAUGUGUAAUUAAAUAUGCAGAGAGCGUAGCAUGUGUGGGUGAUACAUUCAUUUGGAGUAAUACACACACUUGCACUUCCAUCGUUAUUUAGAGAUUAAACCUGUGCAGCUCCUCAGUGCUCACGUCUGCCCGAAGCCCCCGUGGACUGCAGCAGGCGUUGGGGUCCCUUCUGAAGCCACGAAGCAUUAAACCCCAUCCCAAAAGUCAUGUGUGGCUCUACUCUUAAAUGAGUUUUCACAAGCCAAGCCUUGUUUUAGUAACUCAACG